Molecule: transfer RNA, 65 nt
Filed under: Scolytinae sp. BMNH 1039990
Lineage: Eukaryota; Metazoa; Arthropoda; Insecta; Coleoptera; Curculionidae
Description: tRNA-Asn
Source: RNAcentral
UUAAUUGAAACCAAAACUCGAGGUAUACCACUGUUAAUGGUACCACUGGCCCCCCCCCAAUUAAA